This 1441-nucleotide ribosomal RNA is filed under the name uncultured Candidatus Pelagibacter sp. RNAcentral describes it as "bacterial SSU rRNA". It matches the Rfam family "Bacterial small subunit ribosomal RNA". The record is from RNAcentral. Lineage: Bacteria; Pseudomonadati; Pseudomonadota; Alphaproteobacteria; Candidatus Pelagibacterales; Candidatus Pelagibacteraceae.
AGGGUUCGAUUAUGGCUCAGAACGUACGCUGGCGGCACGCCUAACACAUGCAAGUCGAACGAAGUAGCAAUACUUAGUGGCAGACGGGUGAGUAACAUGUAGGUAUCUGCCCUUUGGCCUGGAAUAACACGAGGAAACUUGUGCUAAUACCGGAUAAGUCUUUACGGAGAAAGCUUUAUGCACCAUUGGAUGAGCCUGCACUUGAUUAGUUUGUUGGUGGGGUAAUGGCCUACCAAGACUAUGAUCAAUAGCUGAUUUGAGAGGAUGAUCAGCCACAUUGGGACUGAGACACGGCCCAAACUCCUACGGGAGGCAGCAGUGGGGAAUCUUGCACAAUGGAGGAAACUCUGAUGCAGCGAUGCCGCGUGAGUGAAGAAGGCCCUUGGGUUGUAAAGCUCUUUCGUCGGGGAAGAAAAUGACUGUACCCGAAUAAGAAGGUCCGGCUAACUUCGUGCCAGCAGCCGCGGUAAUACGAAGGGACCUAGCGUAGUUCGGAAUUACUGGGCUUAAAGAGUUCGUAGGUGGUUGAAAAAGUUGGUGGUGAAAUCCCAGAGCUUAACUCUGGAACUGCCAUCAAAACUUUUCAGCUAGAGUUUGAUAGAGGAAAGCAGAAUUUCUAGUGUAGAGGUGAAAUUCGUAGAUAUUAGAAAGAAUACCGAAUGCGAAGGCAGCUUUCUGGAUCAAUACUGACACUGAGGAACGAAAGCAUGGGUAGCGAAGAGGAUUAGAUACCCUCGUAGUCCAUGCCGUAAACGAUGUGUGUUAGACGUUGGAAAUUAAUUUUCAGUGUCGCAGCGAAAGCAAUAAACACACCGCCUGGGGAGUACGACCGCAAGGUUAAAACUCAAAUGAAUUGACGGGGACCCGCACAAGUAGUGGAGCAUGUGGUUUAAUUCGAAGAUACGCGCAGAACCUUACCAACACUUGACAUGUUCGUCGCGACUUUAAGAGAUUAAAGUUUUCGGUUCGGCCGGACGAAACACAGGUGCUGCAUGGCUGUCGUCAGCUCGUGUCGUGAGAUGUUGGGUUAAGUCCCGCAACGAGCGCAACCCUCACUUUUAGUUGCCAUCAUUAAGUUGGGCACUCUGAAAGAACUGCCAGUGAUAAGCUGGAGGAAGGUGGGGAUGACGUCAAGUCCUCAUGGCCCUUACGUGUUGGGCUACACACGUGCUACAAUGGUAUUUAUAACAGGAAGCAAGACGGCGACGUCGAGCAAAUCCUCAAAAAAUACCUCAGUUCGGAUUGCACUCUGCAACUCGAGUGCAUGAAGCUGGAAUUACUAGUAAUCGUGGAUCAGCGUGCCACGGUGAAUGCGUUCCCGGGUCUUGUACACACCGCCCGUCACACCAUGGGAGUUGGUUCUACCUUAAGGCAAGGUUUUAAACCCUUGACCACGGUAUAGUCAGCGACUGGGGUGAAGUCGUAACAAGGUAACCAAGGG